UAAGUCUAAACGACUCUCGGCAACGGAUAUCUCGGCUCUCGCAUCGAUGAAGAACGUAGCGAAAUGCGAUACUUGGUGUGAAUUGCAGAAUCCCGUGAACCAUCGAGUCUUUGAACGCAAGUUGCGCCCGAAGCCUCGGCUGAGGGCACGUCUGCCUGGGU
RNAcentral lists this ribosomal RNA (161 nucleotides) under Terminalia bellirica (bibhitaki). RNAcentral describes it as "5.8S ribosomal RNA". It matches the Rfam family "5.8S ribosomal RNA". From Rfam's summary of the family: 5.8S ribosomal RNA (5.8S rRNA) is a component of the large subunit of the eukaryotic ribosome. It is transcribed by RNA polymerase I as part of the 45S precursor that also contains 18S and 28S rRNA. Functionally, it is thought that 5.8S rRNA may be involved in ribosome translocation. Lineage: Eukaryota; Viridiplantae; Streptophyta; Magnoliopsida; Myrtales; Combretaceae. The record is from RNAcentral.